UGGGCGUAAGCGCGCGCAGGCGGUUUCUUAAGUCUGAUGUGAAAGCCCACGGCUCAACCGUGGAGGGUCAUUGGAAACUGGGGAACUUGAGUGCAGAAGAGAAAAGCGGAAUUCCACGUGUAGCGGUGAAAUGCGUAGAGAUGUGGAGGAACACCAGUGGCGAAGGCGGCUUUUUGGUCUGUAACUGACGCUGAGGCGCGAAAGCGUGGGGAGCAAACAGGAUUAGAUACCCUGGUAGUCCACGCCGUAAACGAUGAGUGCUAAGUGUUAGAGGGUUUCCGCCCUUUAGUGCUGCAGCUAACGCAUUAAGCACUCCGCCUGGGGAGUACGGUCGCAAGACUGAAACUCAAAGGAAUUGACGGGGGCCCGCACAAGCGGUGGAGCAUGUGGUUUAAUUCCAAGCAACGCGAAGAACCUUACCAGGUCUU
RNAcentral lists this ribosomal RNA (428 nucleotides) under Priestia megaterium. Its description in RNAcentral is "bacterial SSU rRNA". It matches the Rfam family "Bacterial small subunit ribosomal RNA", at positions 555 to 982 of the family's 1533-position model. The record is from RNAcentral. Lineage: Bacteria; Bacillati; Bacillota; Bacilli; Caryophanales; Bacillaceae.